CCAAAAUAGGCCAGAUCUUGUUCCCAUGCCCAAGGACUUCUACACCCUCCCUGACACAGCAGGUAUCUCCCAGUGGUCAGCACAUCCCACCCUGCCCUCAGAGCACGCAGUGCCUCUCGCAGACCCUUGGCAGCAAGCAGGGACUGUGCCAAACUAGACAUUUGCUGUUCCUUCAUUGCUGGGCUUUCUAAAAUAUUUUCUCUACCCCUGCAGGUGAUGUGGGAUUUCUCACCUUCUGAAAAUCCUGUUCAUGCUGCUGCUUCAUACCACUGGUUUCCCAAGUUGGUGCUGUAACUUCCUCAUUUGCCAUGGAAGGAUUGCUAUCUCAACUCACCUGCGUUGUUUAAAAUCUGGUUGGAUGCAAAAGCCCUUGAAAGCAACUCUGUCACCUGCAGAGCAGCAAGGAAGCCCCUCAGGCUGGUCUGGUGCCUGGUAGUGUGUUGGUAAGUGGGGAAAAGAUCUAGAUGUGAAACUGUGAAAUUAGGUAGAAGCUCAAACAGUGAAUCCUUGGGGCAUUUUUAAAGUAGUCCUGUUGGAUGGCGGGGGGGGGGGGGGGGGGGGAGUGUAUUUAUUUGAUUCAUUGUUGAUUUUUUAUUUUAUUUGUGUUUUUGUGUGUGCCUGUUGGGGCAUUUUUGAUAUCUUAUUGUCCAAGUUUCCAGAGAUGUAAUCUUGGAUUAGCAUGUGGCUAAACACUUAGAAGCAAUUAGCCACUGCUGUUCUCCUAGAAAGGUAUUUCUAAAAUCAGGUAUGAAAGCCUUGUAGUAUAAACUGCACAGAGGAACAAACCUAUAUUUUUUUUUUUUAUGCAUUGGGUCUGAAACAAAAUAUACAGUGGCUAAAUCUUACCAUGGUCAGAAGUUUUAGGCAGAGGAGCAAACACCUGUUUCCACCAGCCAGAAAAUAAGGAUAACUUACAUUUGUAACCUCAGUUUACAGUCUGGCUCAGUUGGAGCUUAAUUCUGUUUUGUCAGGUUGGCCAAGAAAGAAGACCCCAAAUCUCAUUUCCAGAGAGGUUCUUGGCAUUUGACACCAUUGGAUCUAUUGAAACAGUAGCAUUGCUUGAGCGUAACUGGCACUGUACUAGUCCACUGAAAGAUAUAAAGCCAAGAAUUUCAGGCCCUAAUCUUGCAAAUCCUCAC
RNAcentral lists this long non-coding RNA (1139 nucleotides) under Anas platyrhynchos platyrhynchos (common mallard). RNAcentral describes it as "lncRNA (ENSAPLG00000019012.1)". Lineage: Eukaryota; Metazoa; Chordata; Aves; Anseriformes; Anatidae. The record is from RNAcentral.